This 433-nucleotide ribosomal RNA is filed under the name uncultured bacterium. Its description in RNAcentral is "partial 16S ribosomal RNA". It matches the Rfam family "Bacterial small subunit ribosomal RNA", at positions 29 to 507 of the family's 1533-position model. The record is from RNAcentral.
AACGAACGCUGGCGGCAUGCCUAACACAUGCAAGUCGAACGAGACCUUCGGGUCUAGUGGCGCACGUCUGCUUAACGCCUGGUAACCUACCCUUAGGUUCGCAAUACCUCCCCUAAAGAGGUCCUAAUACCGGUUAAUGUCUUCGGACCAAAGAUUUAUCGCCUUUGGAUGGGCCCGCGUUGGAUUAGCUAGUUGGUAGGGUACAAGCCUACCAAGGCGACGAUCCAUAGCUGGUCUGAGAGGAUGAUCAGCCACACUGGGAAUGAGACACGGCCCAGACUGCUACGGGAGGCAGCAGUGGGGAAUAUUGGACAAUGGGCGAAAGCCUGAUCAAGCAACGCGGGGUGAGAGAGGAAGGGGUUAGGGUUGUAAAGCUCUUUUACACGGGAUGAUAAUGACAGUACCGGGAGAAGAAGCUCCGGCUAACUACGUG